CACAGAAGAAGCACCGGCUAACUCCGUGCCAGCAGCCGCGGUAAUACGGAGGGUGCGAGCGUUAAUCGGAAUUACUGGGCGUAAAGGGUGCGUAGGUGGUUGAUUAAGUUAUCUGUGAAAUUCCUGGGCUUAACCUGGGACGGUCAGAUAAUACUGGUUGACUCGAGUAUGGGAGAGGGUAGUGGAAUUUCCGGUGUAGCGGUGAAAUGCGUAGAGAUCGGAAGGAACACCAGUGGCGAAGGCGGCUACCUGGCCUAAUACUGACACUGAGGCACGAAAGCGUGGGGAGCAAACAGGAUUAGAUACCCUGGUAGUCCACGCU
Molecule: ribosomal RNA, 322 nt
Filed under: uncultured Legionella sp.
Lineage: Bacteria; Pseudomonadati; Pseudomonadota; Gammaproteobacteria; Legionellales; Legionellaceae
Description: bacterial SSU rRNA
Rfam family: Bacterial small subunit ribosomal RNA
Source: RNAcentral